GCUUAACACAUGCAAGUCGAGCGGAAAGGCCCCUUCGGGGGUACUCGAGCGGCGAACGGGUGAGUAACACGUGAGCAACCUGCCCCUGACUCUGGGAUAAGCCCGGGAAACUGGGUCUAAUACCGGAUAUGACCGGCCUUCGCAUGGGGUGYCGGUGGAAAGUUUUUCGGUUGGGGAUGGGCUCGCGGCCUAUCAGCUUGUUGGUGGGGUGAUGGCCUACCAAGGCGACGACGGGUAACCGGCCUGAGAGGGCGACCGGUCACACUGGGACUGAGACACGGCCCAGACUCCUACGGGAGGCAGCAGUGGGGAAUAUUGCGCAAUGGGCGGAAGCCUGACGCAGCGACGCCGCGUGRGGGAUGACGGCCUUCGGGUUGUAAACCUCUUUCAGCAGGGACGAAGCUAACGUGACGGUACCUGCAGAAGAAGCGCCGGCUAACUACGUGCCAGCAGCCGCGGUAAUACGUAGGGCGCAAGCGUUGUCCGGAAUUAUUGGGCGUAAAGAGCUCGUAGGCGGUUUGUCGCGUCUGUCGUGAAAGCCCACGGCUUAACCGUGGGUCUGCGGUGGAUACGGGCAGACUAGAGGCAGGUAGGGGAGAAUGGAAUUC
This 608-nucleotide ribosomal RNA is filed under the name Actinomadura sp. QAP 98-328-1842. Its description in RNAcentral is "bacterial SSU rRNA". It matches the Rfam family "Bacterial small subunit ribosomal RNA", at positions 46 to 669 of the family's 1533-position model. The record is from RNAcentral. Lineage: Bacteria; Bacillati; Actinomycetota; Actinomycetes; Streptosporangiales; Thermomonosporaceae.